UNUGAACGUGUUGUAGCAUUUAUCAGGGUA
RNAcentral lists this non-coding RNA (30 nucleotides) under Mus musculus (house mouse). The record is from RNAcentral. Lineage: Eukaryota; Metazoa; Chordata; Mammalia; Rodentia; Muridae.